RNAcentral lists this ribosomal RNA (769 nucleotides) under uncultured Sulfitobacter sp. Its description in RNAcentral is "bacterial SSU rRNA". It matches the Rfam family "Bacterial small subunit ribosomal RNA", at positions 38 to 854 of the family's 1533-position model. Lineage: Bacteria; Pseudomonadati; Pseudomonadota; Alphaproteobacteria; Rhodobacterales; Roseobacteraceae. The record is from RNAcentral.
GGCGGCAGGCCUAACACAUGCAAGUCGAGCGCUACCUUCGGGUGGAGCGGCGGACGGGUUAGUAACGCGUGGGAACAUACCCUUUUCUACGGAAUAGCCUCGGGAAACUGAGAGUAAUACCGUAUAAGCCCUUCGGGGGAAAGAUUUAUCGGGAAAGGAUUGGCCCGCGUUAGAUUAGAUAGUUGGUGGGGUAAUGGCCUACCAAGUCUACGAUCUAUAGCUGGUUUUAGAGGAUGAUCAGCAACACUGGGACUGAGACACGGCCCAGACUCCUACGGGAGGCAGCAGUGGGGAAUCUUAGACAAUGGGCGAAAGCCUGAUCUAGCCAUGCCGCGUGAGUGAUGAAGGUCUUAGGAUCGUAAAGCUCUUUCGCUAGGGAUGAUAAUGACAGUACCUAGUAAAGAAGCCCCGGCUAACUCCGUGCCAGCAGCCGCGGUAAUACGGAGGGGGCUAGCGUUGUUCGGAAUUACUGGGCGUAAAGCGUACGUAGGCGGAUCAGAAAGUAUGGGGUGAAAUCCCAGGGCUCAACCCUGGAACUGCCUCAUAAACUCCUGGUCUUGAGUUCGAGAGAGGUGAGUGGAAUUGCGAGUGUAGAGGUGAAAUUCGUAGAUAUUCGCAGGAACACCAGUGGCGAAGGCGGCUCACUGGCUCGAUACUGACGCUGAGGUACGAAAGUGUGGGGAGCAAACAGGAUUAGAUACCCUGGUAGUCCACACCGUAAACGAUGAAUGCCAGACGUCGGGCAGUAUACUGUUCGGUGUCACACCUA